RNAcentral lists this ribosomal RNA (253 nucleotides) under uncultured bacterium. RNAcentral's name for it is "partial 16S ribosomal RNA". It matches the Rfam family "Bacterial small subunit ribosomal RNA", at positions 524 to 776 of the family's 1533-position model. The record is from RNAcentral.
UACGAAGGGUGCGAGCGUUAUUCGGAUUUAUUGGGCGUAAAGGGUGCGUAGGUGGCAUGUUAAGUCUGUUGUUAAAUUUUCCGGCCUAACCGGAAAUGUGCAGUGGAAACUGGCGUGCUAGAGAGUGGAAGAGGGAAGUGGAAUUCUCGGAGUAGCGGUAAAAUGCGUGGAUCUCGAGAGGAACACCGAUGGCGAAGGCAGCUUCCUGGUCCAUUUCUGACACUGAGGCACGAAAGCGUGGGGAGCAAACAGG